GCCCGUUUCACUACGGAAGGGCUGUAUUUAUUGGAUACCAAAACCAUCCUUCCCUCGGGAAGUUUUGUUUGAUGAUUCACAAUAACUGAUCGGAUCGCCACUGUGGUGGCGACAGGUCAUUCAACAUUCUGCCCUAUCAGCUUUCGAUGGUUGUGUAGUGGACAACCAUGGCCAUAACGGGUAACGGAGAAUCAGGGUUCGAUUCCGGAGAAGGAGCUUGAGAAUUGGCUACUACAUCUAAGGAAGGCAGCAGGCGCGCAAAUUACCCAAUCCCGAUUCGGGGAGGUAGUGACAAAAAAUAACAAUACCGGGCCUUUUUGGGCUUGGUAAUUGGAAUGAGGGAGAGUUAAACGGACCAUCGAGUAUCCAUUGGAGGGCAAGUCUGGUGCCAGCAGCUGCGGUAAUACCAGCUCCAAUAGCGUAUAUUAAAGUUGUUGCAGUUAAAAAGCUCGUAGUUGGACUUGUGUGCGCUGUCCGCGGGUGGCCUGCGCCCAAAAGGGCGUUUCGGUUCGGCCCCGGUGGCGCCUUGAAAUCUGCAGCUGGGGGGGACGUUGGCCUUAACUGGUCGGCGACCGCACGCCGGCUGCUCGGUUACUGUGAGAAAAUUAGAGUGUUCAAGGCAGGCAUUGGGUGCAAUUGAAUACAUUAGCAUGGAAUAAUAAAAUAUGGCUCCUGCCGUAUUUUGUUGGUUUUGACUGGUGGGAGUAAUGAUUGAUAGGGACGGUUGGGGGUGCUAGUAUUGAGCGGCCAGAGGUGAAAUUCAUGGAUUCGCUCAAGACUAACUUAUGCGAAAGCAUUCACCAAGGACGUCCUCUUUAAUCAAGAACGAAAGUUGGGGGAUCGAAGACGAUCAGAUACCGUCGUAGUCUCAACCAUAAACUAUGUCGACUUGGGAUCGGCGGUAGUUUUUUCAUUAAGACACUGUCGGGACCACGGGAGAAAUCAAAGUGUCUGGACUCUGGGGGAAGUAUGGUCGCAAGGCUGAAACUUGAAGGAAUUGACGGAAGGGCACCACCAGGAGUGGAGCCUGCGGCUUAAUUUGACCCAACACGGGGAAACUUACCAGGUCCAGAGAUGUAGAGGAUUGACAGAUUGAAGCUCUUUCUUGAUCACUUCGGUGGUGGUGCAUGGCCGUUCUUAGUUGGUGGAGUGAUUUGUCUGGUUAAUUCCGUUAACGAACGAGACCUCAGCCUGCUAGUGUAGUCGGCUGGAUUG
Molecule: ribosomal RNA, 1215 nt
Filed under: metagenome
Description: SSU rRNA
Rfam family: Eukaryotic small subunit ribosomal RNA
Source: RNAcentral